UGUCAUAAUGUUAGUGGAGACAGGACUCGAACCUCUGUCUGUUUGGCUCUGGAGCCCUUGUCCUAUCUCAGAACUCCUCCAACCACAAGACUACAGAAAGCAUUUUUCAAAGGCUUCAGAGCCGCGCUCCUCAUCGCAGAACCAGCCACGGCCAGUGUGAUUAUUUCCUUUGGUGUACUGUCCCCUUGCUUUGCAUUUCCUGACAUUCAGGAAACGAAAGUCCGUUGCUUUAAAUCCACUUCUUCCACCGCAGACCUUGACUUCAAACCACAGACUCCUAUUCACGAGACGACUGACUCCUUGAUGCUUCCCUGAACCGCUCUGGCCGGCUCGAGCCUGUUCUUCCAGUGCCAGUAAAAUUCAGACAUGACUAAUCCAAAGGGAGGAGGCUAAAAUCCUCUUUUAUUAAUAAUUAGUACAACCUCUUGGUCCCUGAAGACAAUGGAAACAGGAUAAGCAGUCCAAGAAUUCAGUCUGUGGCAGCAGCUCCAUACCAGGUAGAAAUUCAUCCUCCUCCUGAAUCGCCAGGAACAGGAAGCUCUUGUCUCAGCAGGCAAACAGACAGACUUCUGAGGACUGAAAGCGACUUUCCUAAGUGUUAAUGUAAUUGGCUCCAGUCCCUUCUUCUGGAAUAAAAUAGAAAUCUCAGCUCCAAUGGUCUCAGCAAACAGCCUGUAGGGACUUUAUUCUUCAACUUGUCCAAUCAUUCAAUAAAUAUUCAUUAAACUCCAUUGGGUGCUAUUCACCAUAAUCUGUACUAUGAAUAUAAUGAUGAAAAAGUCAGACAGUAGUAGCUGUGUUGUAAAAAUGCAGUAACUGUGACUUCUCUACAUGUUCUUGGAAGGAAAAUUAUGAAAGGCCAACUUGAGUAAAUGGGAAGAACUGGUAAUGUGAAUUGGGGAAGGUACAUGAUUGUUCAAUAAACACAGGAUCUUAAUAAACUCAAAAUCUGUUAGUCAUUUCUGUUUUCUUGUAAAGGGGACUAGGGAGGAGGCAGAAAGUGCUGAAGCACAGGAUUUGACAUUAGAUAAGGCCAAAAGACUGCUCUAGUCUCCGAGGAAACAGAAGAGGUGCAGGUAGAUGCCAAGAAGGCCACAUGACAGGGAUCUUCUGGAUGUGUGGGGUCCAGUGAUGCUAGCUUUCCAA
Fukomys damarensis (Damara mole-rat) is the source of this 1146-nucleotide long non-coding RNA. RefSeq lists it as uncharacterized. The transcript has 3 exons. Lineage: Eukaryota; Metazoa; Chordata; Mammalia; Rodentia; Bathyergidae. The record is from RefSeq and is a predicted model, not a curated record.